UCUCUUUCUUUAGUUCUACUUCUCCUGUUUAACCCUCCUUUACUGUCUUUUGUAGCCUUGCAAGAGAUAGACACAAGUCUUGAAAAGUUCUGGGAACCAGUGGAUGACACAUAUCUUGAAAAGUCCUGGGAACCAGUGGAUUGCAAAACAUAGUUCUGGUGACAUGAGAACUCAGUAAGUCACAGUUUGAAAGCUGAGACUGGAUGCCUGGGAAAGAAACACUGAUGUCUGAAAGGAAACAGGGCCUCAGGAAGGAUACGAAAGGAAGAUUAUACUUUUAGCUUAAGGCUUGAAACGUCAGGCUUGAUACUCCAUGUGAUUUACUGAUUCCUUCAUUUCUAUGAAGCUAAAGAAGACCUGAAGAUACCAGUGUAUCCCAGGAGAUGGAGAUCUUAAAGAUCCUGACUCUUAAAGGGACUGGAAAAUGAGUCUACUUCAUUGCUGUUGUGUGUGCCACAUACAGAGGAGUUAUGGAGAAACAACAGCAGCAGCCAGUGAAGCAUCUGUAUUUGGCUGGCCACAGUAAUGGACAAAAAGGAGGAUUUUCUUCCUAAUUCUUCAUUAACAUUAGCGAUUAUGUGUUUCUUUGCUGAUUACAGAUAACUCAGGGCAGAAAACAGUGACAAGAAGGUAAGAGAUUGUCUGAAACAGAUGGAGAAAUGUACUGGAAAGGAAAGGGAAAGAGUGAGGUCAUUGCCCUGAAGAUUAAAGCACAAUUCAAGACUUCUUCCUAUCAGAGAGGAAUAUAGCAGAGGAAUAGUUUUAGAGGUUGGUUUUCAUCUGUGUUGUUUUUGUUUGUUUGUUUGAUUUGAGUACGUAACAAUAUGGAGUAUAGAAUAGGAAGUGAACAGACAGAACACAGGUGAUGUAACAGUUUUUCACUCUUAUGUUGUCUCUUUAAGGCAAAUGACUAGAAAUGUUUACCCUGAGAUUGCUGACCCUAAUACAUGGCUUCUGACUGUUGGUUAUUUGUACAAGUUCCAGUAUGGUGAACCAGCAGCAGCUGUGUUUCACAGGGUGUGGUAGCAGUACAAACUGGCUUAGUAAUUUAUUUAUUAGUAGUGUCACUUAGUUUUAAAAAAAUGUAAUAUCUAUAUUAUGGAUUUGCAAACAUUUUACACAAGAAAGAUUUUAUUUUCCAAAAGUGCAUUUAGUUAUUUUAAAAAUAUUUCAAGCCACUUUCAGCAACUUCAAGCCUAUAUGAGUUACCAGAACAGUCUCUAUGUAUUACUCAGACUGAAUCUCUUUGUAUUUGAGGGUAAUGAAUGGUAGUAUUAAGGUAGUUCUGUUAAUAUUUGACUACUGUCUCUGUUGCUUUACCAUAAUUAUUCUCCUUGUGACGUGUUGCUGUAAACCUGGGGAGAUGUGUAUAUUAUAGUAAAAAUUUAAACACUUUAGAAUCUCUAAAUUAAGCAGAUAAAUAGAAAAUGUUAAGCAUUUAUUGUGUAUUUCAUUUUCUGAUCUCAAUACAUUUCCCAGUGAAACAAAAAAAACCUGAACAACUUUAUUAAUAUAUUUCAUGGCAUUCCUGUGUUAUGGGAACAAUAUAUUCUCAAGCGCUCCAUGCAUCUGAAAUUUGUCUCGAUGUGGCCCAUUUAUUUUAAUUUCGGUCUGUCAGUAGAAAAAAAGAAGUAAUUAAACUUGUGACUAGCAUGGAGAAACGUUUUGCGUUCUAAACUGUAGCUUGAUACCCAGUAGUUUCUUUAUAUUUCUUCCAGUUGUCAGAUCAAAGUCUCUCAAGUACUAUAACUCAGCCAUGCUUUGAUUAAUUACUUCACACAAUGAAUUUGCAAAUUAUAUUUCUGAAGUGAUUUAUGUACUUUUUAACUCCAAUCAACUCUCUCUCCCGCCUGCUUUUUUUUUUUUUCCUUCCUCUCUGCUCCAAUCUCUGCUCUGAUGUUAUUUUAUGCUAAACAAAUCUGUAUAAAUAGAGCGAAGUCUUACCUGAACAGUGCAACUGAGCACAACUAUAGAGAUCACUUAAACUGACAUCACCCAACAGCAGUCCUCAUCAGGUCAUAAGUCUCACUGCUUUGUGCAAAUACAUGAAGUCCCUCCCUAAAAAUUCCCAGCUACAGGCGUUUUGUUCCAGAUAGAGCUACUGGAAUAGCUGAGCUGAGGCAACAUUUAAGAUGCAUGUUCAAACCAAAUAUUUGAUUACUGUAGUUAGACUCUGGUAAAUGGUAUUUGGAGAAGUAAUAACUUGUUUGCAACAGUGAUCUGCUUGUCUGGGCAAAGUUUAGUAUUUAUAUUUGUGAUUUCAUUGGACAGUUUCACAUGACAUACUGUUAUUCAUUUUUCACCCAUUUGCAUUGCACAGUGGUAUCUAAUCUCUCUUUGAAGGUAUUGUGUUCAUAAAUAUCCAUGCUGUCCAUACAACUUGAUCUGAUAUACCUCUGAAAGAGUGUGAAGAUUUACUUCUCUCACUAUCCCUAAGUCAUCUCCUUAGCUCUGAAACAAUGUGUACAUUCACCACCUUUAGAAGUAAUUUAAAUCUAAGUGCUGCUUUGUUUUUAAUUAAGGUGUUAACUGGACAAGGAGAUAGACUUGGAAAUGAUGAUCUCCAGAGAUCCCUUCCAACCCCUGCAAUCCUGUGAUGUGGCACAGUGAUGAAGGACCUAUACUGGGGUCCUGUUUACACACAUGACUGGAGUAAUGUCCCAAAUGCUCUCAUUCCUUCUCACCACUUCAAUUUAAUUGUUUUGCACAUCCAUAUAGGAAACUGCACAGAGUACAUGUUUAAUGCUAAAUGAGCUGAGAUCUUGAAGAAUUCACUCCUUGAUUUGCUUUUAAAGUAUACUAACUCGUCUCUGUGAGACAAAACCCAGCAAUGGUUUUGGGGGACUGUGCAUUCUGAAGGCCCCUCAAGACAGGAAAAAUAGAUUCCAGUAAAAUUCAGUAAAUUUGGCUCUUUAACACUUUUGGCAAGCUUUACACUCUGGAACAUUCCAAAUUCACGCCAUGUCCAUGACACAUAGCAACUUUAUUAGUGUGUGAUACAUAACUUCUGUGCUGGUGGACUAAAGCUUUGAUCUCAUGAUGUUUUAAACACUCUGAACUAGGAAAAAGCCCACAAAAAAACCAUGGAAAACCACCAAGAUGGGGCAGUGGGGAUACCUGUGGCAAAUGUCAUGCAGAUGAAGCCAGUCUGCUGUAGAUGAGGAUGGUCAAGGCACAGAUAUGAAAGCAUUCUACAGCACCUAGCCCAGAGGUGAACAAUCAGUCCCUGAGACAGAAACAUUCAGCCAUAUAGAUACAACACCUUUGGAUCACGCUGUCUAUCUCAAGUCGUGUCUCCAAUAACUGUUAGUAACAGAGGCUUGAGGUAAUGAGUAUACAUUUUAAUAAAAUGUAGAGUGAUACUUCUAUAUAGAAUCAUAGAAUCCUAGAAUCCCAAGGUUGGA
This is a long non-coding RNA of Meleagris gallopavo (turkey), 3404 nucleotides long. RefSeq lists it as uncharacterized. The record is from RefSeq and is a predicted model, not a curated record. Lineage: Eukaryota; Metazoa; Chordata; Aves; Galliformes; Phasianidae.